AGAUUGAACGCUGGCGGCAUGCCUUACACAUGCAAGUCGAACGGUAGAGUAGCAAUACUUGAGAGUGGCGAACGGGUGGGUAAUAUAUCGGAACGUGCCCAGUCGUGGGGGAUAACGUAGAGAAAUUUACGCUAAUACCGCAUACGAUCUAAGGAUGAAAGCGGGGGACCGUAAGGCCUCGCGCGAUUGGAGCGGCUGAUAUCAGAUUAGGUUGUUGGUGAGGUAAAAGCUCACCAAGCCGACGAUCUGUAGCUGGUUUGAGAGAACGACCAGCCACACUGGGACUGAGACACGGCCCAGACUCCUACGGGAGGCAGCAGUGGGAAUUUGGACAGUGGCGAAAGCCUGACUCCAGUCAAUGCCGCGUGCGAAGGAAGAAGGUCCGUUCGGGUUCGACUAAACUGUCGUUUUUAGGUAACGGUAACGAAACGGU
Molecule: ribosomal RNA, 433 nt
Filed under: uncultured soil bacterium
Lineage: Bacteria
Description: bacterial SSU rRNA
Rfam family: Bacterial small subunit ribosomal RNA
Source: RNAcentral